GGGGCCGUAGCUCAAUUGGGAGAGCGCUGGCUUUGCAAGCCAGAGGUUGCCGGUUCGAUCCCGGUCGGCUCCA
This 73-nucleotide transfer RNA is filed under the name Planctomycetaceae bacterium. Its description in RNAcentral is "tRNA-Ala". It matches the Rfam family "tRNA". Rfam says of the family: Transfer RNA (tRNA) molecules are approximately 80 nucleotides in length. Their secondary structure includes four short double-helical elements and three loops (D, anti-codon, and T loops). Further hydrogen bonds mediate the characteristic L-shaped molecular structure. tRNAs have two regions of fundamental functional importance: the anti-codon, which is responsible for specific mRNA codon recognition, and the 3' end, to which the tRNAs corresponding amino acid is attached (by aminoacyl-tRNA synthetases). tRNAs cope with the degeneracy of the genetic code in two manners: having more than one tRNA (with a specific anti-codon) for a particular amino acid; and 'wobble' base-pairing, i.e. permitting non-standard base-pairing at the 3rd anti-codon position. Lineage: Bacteria; Pseudomonadati; Planctomycetota; Planctomycetia; Planctomycetales; Planctomycetaceae. The record is from RNAcentral.